Molecule: long non-coding RNA, 494 nt
Filed under: Homo sapiens (human)
Lineage: Eukaryota; Metazoa; Chordata; Mammalia; Primates; Hominidae
Description: non-protein coding LINC01128:81
Source: RNAcentral
GUGUCUGCGUCGGGUUCUGUUGGAGUGCGUUCGGUGCGCCGUGGGUCCGCGCUGCUUCCACCCAACUUCCUGUUAGUUUCUCUCCUGUCACAAUGGCAUGAUCUCGGCUCACUGCGACCUCUGCUUCCUGGGUUCAAGGAUUCUCCUGCCUCAGCCUCCCAAGUAGCUGGGAUUACAGGUUACAUUAGUUAUACACUCUGGAGGUGACUUGACCUGUCAUUGUGAACAAUUAUUGCUCUUGGACGACCCAGGACAUAGGCCAGCCAGUACGUACCCCAGUGUGUUGGAGAAUCGCGCUCGGCUUCUUCCUCUGUGCUGAGUCAUGAAAGUUGCCGGAGCAGGUGCAGUUACACAACCUCCAGACAUCUAGGCUUGCUGUCAAGGCUUCUGAUCAACAUGAGAUGACCGCCGUGUGGUAAACUGAUGAACCCUGACCCUGAUCAACAUGAGAUGACCGCCGUGUGGUAAACUGAUGAACCCCGACCCUGAUGAAC